UACGUAGGUGGCAAGCGUUGUCCGGAAUUAUUGGGCGUAAAGCGCGCGUAGGCGGCUUUGUAAGUCAGAGGUGAAAGCCUGGAGCUCAACUCCAGAGCUGCCUUUGAAACUACAUCGCUAGAAUCAUGGAGAGGUUAGUGGAAUUCCGAGUGUAGAGGUGAAAUUCGUAGAUAUUCGGAAGAACACCAGUGGCGAAGGCGACUAACUGGACAUGUAUUGACGCUGAGGUGCGAAAGCGUGGGGAGCAAACAGG
RNAcentral lists this ribosomal RNA (253 nucleotides) under uncultured bacterium. RNAcentral describes it as "partial 16S ribosomal RNA". It matches the Rfam family "Bacterial small subunit ribosomal RNA", at positions 524 to 776 of the family's 1533-position model. The record is from RNAcentral.